Molecule: ribosomal RNA, 300 nt
Filed under: Richelia sp. CSU_2_1
Lineage: Bacteria; Bacillati; Cyanobacteriota; Cyanophyceae; Nostocales; Nostocaceae
Also listed under: 1 other name
Description: partial 23S ribosomal RNA
Rfam family: Bacterial large subunit ribosomal RNA
Source: RNAcentral
ACAGUUCGGUCCAUAUCCGGUGCAGGCGCAAGAAGAUUGAGAGGAGUCCUCCCUAGUACGAGAGGACCGGGAGGGACGCACCGCUGGUGUACCUGUUAUCGUGCCAACGGUAAACGCAGGGUAGCCAUGUGCGGAGUGGAUAACCGCUGAAAGCAUCUAAGUGGGAAGCCCACCUCAAGAUGAGUCUUCUCAUGGAAUAAUCCAGUAAGGUCACGGGCAGAACACCCGUUGAUAGGCGUUAAGUGGAAGUCCUGAGAGGGAUGAAGCUGAGACGUACUAAUAGACCGAGGGCUUGACCUC